Molecule: ribosomal RNA, 253 nt
Filed under: uncultured bacterium
Lineage: Bacteria
Description: partial 16S ribosomal RNA
Rfam family: Bacterial small subunit ribosomal RNA
Source: RNAcentral
UACAGAGGGUGCAAGCGUUGUUCGGAAUUAUUGGGCGUAAAGCGCGUGUAGGCGGCUUUGCGAGUCGGGUGUGAAAUCCCUCAGCUUAACUGAGGAAGUGCGCCCGAAACUGCCGAGCUUGAGUACCGGAGAGGGUGGCGGAAUUCCCCAAGUAGAGGUGAAAUUCGUAGAUAUGGGGAGGAACACCGGUGGCGAAGGCGGCCACCUGGACGGAUACUGACGCUGAGACGCGAAAGCGUGGGGAGCAAACAGG